AACAUACCUCCUCUGUCCCGAAUUACUUGUCGCGAAAAUGGAUAACAAUGGAUGUAUCUAAAACUAAAAUACAUCUAUAUACAUCCAUUUCUCUGACAAGUAUUUCUGAACGGAGGGAGUAGUUG
Triticum aestivum (bread wheat) is the source of this 125-nucleotide non-coding RNA. The record is from Rfam. Lineage: Eukaryota; Viridiplantae; Streptophyta; Magnoliopsida; Poales; Poaceae.